This is a long non-coding RNA of Erpetoichthys calabaricus (reedfish), 221 nucleotides long. RefSeq lists it as uncharacterized. NCBI's taxonomy places the organism in Eukaryota, Metazoa, Chordata, Cladistia, Polypteriformes, Polypteridae. The record is from RefSeq and is a predicted model, not a curated record. The transcript has 3 exons.
UUAUUUUUCAGGAAAUGGACUUGUGGCAGCUCUUUAAUAACAUGGAAGUUGUACUUGUACCAGUUUUAGCAGCAAUGGAAGACCACAAAAUAAAUGUGGAUAUAGAUAUACUGAAGCAAACAUCUGAUAUUUUGAAGGUAAAACUGAAACAGCUAGAGCAUGAAGCACACAAAGCUGCCGGACAGCACUUCCUUUUAACAAGUGUUAAUCAACUUCGUCGG